Molecule: long non-coding RNA, 1497 nt
Filed under: Bos taurus (domestic cattle)
Lineage: Eukaryota; Metazoa; Chordata; Mammalia; Artiodactyla; Bovidae
Description: long non-coding RNA NONBTAT006020
Source: RNAcentral
UUUACACUUCAAAUUUGAGUAAGUGUGUGGAGAAUUGGUUUGACUUGCAUAUAGUUUAUAGUCUGGAUUACUUAAUACUGAUUCAUUGACUUAAAUAGUUUCCACUAAGUAUAUAUUGUUAUUGAUAAAUACACAUGAAAUUCAGUUGUUUUGAAAUUUUAGAGGACACAGUUGGAAAAUAUCAAUGUGUUUUCCAUUCUAGAUGUGGUGUGUGGUGACGUGGGCGUGGUGGAGUGGGCGGCUCUGGAAGGAGCCUUGUGAAUUGUUGGCUUUGGUCAAAGUUGUGUUCUUUCUGAUGGGCACACGGCCAUGCUCUCAUAUCAGAAGUAUGUGUGCUGCAGUCUGGUGUCAUGAGUUACAGGAUUGGCGAGUUACUUAACAGGUUUUUUCCCCCCAGAUUUCCUUUUAUAUUUUUUAGAUGCAUAUGUGUAGCAUUAUAGUAUAAUUAAUUGCUGGGAAGGAUCUAAGAGGUACUGAUUUCACUUUUCUACCAGAAAACUAUGAAGUACCAGUAUGAUUUUCCAGUAACAACUUGGUUGGCUUUUGGUUAUAGUCACAAAAAGAGUCCAGCUCCUGAGAUUUUGGGAAGUGUAUAUAUUUUGUAUAUAAAAAUAGAAACAUGAAAAGCAGUGGAUACAGUAUGUUACAGGAUUGGUAGCAUUAGCAGUUAAUUCCUUUCCAGUACUGUUUUUAUUGAAAAGCAGGAAGUAUAUGGAAAUAGAAUGUCUUUUAUGCUAAAUUAAUAUGCCUCUGAGGUUAUUAAACUGUAGAUGGAAAUGUUGUUAUGGGUCAUACUGAAAAUGUUGGUUAUUUUAUAAGUAUAGUAAGAGAACAGAAAAGAAAAGGUACACUACAAGUAUUUUCUGAAGACAAAAGUAUUGAAGGUAUUUGAUGACAGAAAAUAAAUGACAAGUCAAAAUCAUCAUCCUGUGAAGUAAGGGAGUUUGAGGAACUCAUGGAGUGAGUAUGUCAUUAAAAAAAAAAAAUCACUGGAUCUGAAGAGAUUGCCCAUGGAGUUUACAUCUUUUUUUUUUUUUUUUUUUUGGAGUUUACAUCUUUAAUAGGACAGUCUCACUAAAGAUUCCCUAAAGAUCUGCUCCAUCUCAUUUUCACAUGCAGUCUGAAGAUCUGUACAAGAUUUUAUCUUCAAGUUCAUUUGUGAAGUCGGUGAUUAAAGCCAGAUGGAUUUCACUUCUUAGAGUCCAGGAAUUGUCCUCCCUCCAGUGGUGACUGACCAGGUAGUGUGUCAGGACUGGGCACUGACCCCUCUGCUCCAGAUGUAGACUUCCUGUGAAUCCCUUCAUCUUGUCUUUGUUCCAUAAGAACAGCUGCUGACGUCUGAGAUUUUGGCAGCCAAAACAUUAUAAAGUGAAGUUAAUAUUCCACCUUCAAAGGAGGGCUAAUUAUUGACACUGAGGAGCCAGCUGAAGUCAGAAACCUGUGGGCAGUAAAGAAGCUGACUGUUGGAUACGUUGAGAGUGAAACUUUGCGUUGUUU